AGUGAACGCUGGCGGUAGGCCUAACACAUGCAAGUCGAACGGCAGCACAGUAAGAGCUUGCUCUUACGGGUGGCGAGUGGCGGACGGGUGAGGAAUACAUCGGAAUCUACUUUUUCGUGGGGGAUAACGUAGGGAAACUUACGCUAAUACCGCAUACGACCUACGGGUGAAAGCAGGGGAUCUUCGGACCUUGCGCGAUUGAAUGAGCCGAUGUCGGAUUAGCUAGUUGGCGGGGAAAAGGCCCACCAAGGCGACGAUCCGUAGCUGGUCUGAGAGGAUGAUCAGCCACACUGGAACUGAGACACGGUCCAGACUCCUACGGGAGGCAGCAGUGGGGAAUAUUGGACAAUGGGCGCAAGCCUGAUCCAGCCAUACCGCGUAGGUGAAGAAGGCCUUCGGGUUGUAAAGCCCUUUUGUUGGGAAAGAAAAGCAGCAGGUUAAUACCCCGCUGUUCUGACGGUACCCAAAGAAUAAGCACCGGCUAACUUCGUG
Molecule: ribosomal RNA, 492 nt
Filed under: uncultured bacterium
Lineage: Bacteria
Description: partial 16S ribosomal RNA
Rfam family: Bacterial small subunit ribosomal RNA
Source: RNAcentral